GCCCGGCCCGUUUUUUAAAAUAAAAGGUGGUACAUAAAAAAUAAAUCAAUUUCAUCUAGGCUUCAAUUAAAUGCAAAUUACAUGCUCUAUAAAAAAUAAAUCAGUUUUAAUCAAAAAACAAAUAUUUCUAUGAUCUUUCAUCUGCUAAGAACAAUUAUUUUCCAAUUCAAACUGCAUAAAUCCAAUCCAAAUUCAUGAAUAGAAGCAUCUCUAUUUCUCAAUCCCAUUAUUUUCCUACUAGUAGAUAAACAAUAUUAGCAUAACAUUACCAUAAUUUAAUCAAAAUUUUUCUUUCCCUCCAAUAUUUUGGUAGUUCACUUCUUUUUCAGAGGAAUCAAUAAUCAUAACAAUCUUUUGAGAUAAGGACACAAAUUAUCAUCUACAAAAUCUGCUAAUCCUGCAUUUAAUUGCAAAAUGUUGUACAAAGUAAAAUAAAAGAAAAUCAAAUUAAAUUCUAAAAGGAAAAUGUAAAUGAAAGCUUACGGGAAAGGAAGCUAUGGUAAGCCAAAUUGAUUUCAAUGUCACUUGUUUCUGCAAUUAAACAAAGCAAAAACAAAAAAAAAGAUGAGAUUAAAUGAAAAAAACUAAGCUUGUGAUCUCAAUAAACAUUAUAAUAAAUUCAUUAAAGUCGAAUCCAUGCAAUUUCAAAAUUCUGAGAUCUUCAUUGUGAUAUGACAAUAUCAACUCCAACCACUAUAUUGGAGCUUGCACAAUUAUACUGUCAUAAUAUGACUCAAGUAUUUUAACACCCUUCAUCAAAUAAGUGUUGCCUAUUUCCUACUCCUCAACUAAACUCUUUUCAAUUAAAAAUAACUAGAAACUGCAAGUAACAUACAUAACAGCUCAUCUAAAACAAUCUAGCUUAAUGUCACUAUUGAAGUCUAUGUUAAAAAAAGAAACAGACAGAAACAUCAAACAAACAUUAAGCAAAAUACAGACAGAAACUUAAAAACAGAAUUCGGCAAAAUAUCCGUAUCUGGUACUCGCACCAAAUUCCAGUAAAAGAGAUCAAUGUAAUUAGUAAACAUUAAGCAAAAUAAAGACAAAAACAAACAGAAAAUGGAAGAAGAAGAAAAUGUAGUUACCCGGAUUAACAAGUUAUACCAAUUGACUCUUAAAUAAAUCUAGUUGUUAAGUGUAUCACUAAAAAAAAUAGUCUGUAUUGUUUGUUUACUUAAAAAAAAUUAAGAACAAUUUUUUGUAUAUAAUUUUUGGCCAACACGUUUUAUAUAUUAAUUAAUGCAAAGUGUGAAAGGAACGACUUUUCAAACAAGUCUCUAACAACUAAAUAGUGCUAUAGUUAACAUAUAAUGCAAAUAGUUAACAUUAUCAUCAAUCGUUCUUGUCUGCUUAUUUUUUAAUAGUAUAAGAAUUAAACUGUUCAAUUUAUUCUGAAAUUAACUAAGUUACUUUUUCAACAAUAUUAGAUAAGAAUUUCCUACAUAUUUCUAUCAAUUAUUUUCUUUACUUAAUGAACGAUUUUAUAUAUAUAGAAAAUGAAAUACCAAUUACCAAAUCAACAUCAUAAGAAAAACACUACCACAUCUUGCCAAAUCCAUUAAUUAUUGAAGUCUAUGUUAAAAAAAGAAACACACAGAAAGUCAGAAACAAACAUUAAGCAGAAAUAUGGUACUCGCAUUAAUACAGACAGAAACAGAAACUUAAAAAAAGAAUUUGGCAAAAUAUCCACAUUUGGUACUCGCACCAAAUUCCAGAAAAAGAGAUCAAUACAAUUACUAAUUAGUAAACAUUAAGCAAAAUACAGCCAAACAGAAAAUGAAGUUACCCAGAUUAACCAGAAACAAACAGACAGAAAAUGGAAGGGAAUCAUCAAGGGAUCCAUUGUUAAUGAUUUCUUAAAAGAUUCAGACUCAAAAAUUAAGCAAAAUACAACGAUUGUGAAUGGUUUAUUUUGACAAAAUUAUUCUCAAAAUAGAGCUCCAUUUACCUUAAAUUGGGCGGAGGAUCGAAGGUGGAUCGGUGGACUGGAGGAGGAUCUGUGGACUGGAGGAGGAUCGGUAUUUUGGAAUUGGGAAAAAAGGGAGGAGGGCACGAUAGGU
This 2060-nucleotide long non-coding RNA is filed under the name Gossypium raimondii (Peruvian cotton). RNAcentral describes it as "long non-coding RNA (GRAI_LNC008693)". Lineage: Eukaryota; Viridiplantae; Streptophyta; Magnoliopsida; Malvales; Malvaceae. The record is from RNAcentral.